Molecule: ribosomal RNA, 1032 nt
Filed under: Eriophyes padi
Lineage: Eukaryota; Metazoa; Arthropoda; Arachnida; Trombidiformes; Eriophyidae
Description: eukaryotic LSU rRNA
Rfam family: Eukaryotic large subunit ribosomal RNA (bases 1-760)
Source: RNAcentral
GAAAAGAAAGCAAAAGCGAUUUCCCAAGUAACGGCGAGUGAACAGGAAUAAGCCUAGCGCUAAGGCUCAAUAGGAUGGUUGGCAGCAAUGUUGAUCGUCGUUUUCGACAAGCUAUUGAGCGGUGCAGCGUUACAAACCAUGAUGUUUAGUAAUACCAUUGGUAGUAAAUGGGAAACUAUUUGCUACUCCUAGCCUAGCAUGCAAGUUCCAUUGACUUGGACUAAUUGCAAAUGACUACGUGCUUGGGGCAACUUGAGUGCGUGGUUGAGCCAAAGUGGGUGAAAGCCCUAUACCGUGCAGGCAUUGGUAUUACGAAUUAUGGAUGGCAUCCUUUAUGGGGUGUCAAAUUUGUUAGAGUCGAGUUGCUUGAGAGUGCAACUUAAAGUGCGAGGUAAACUACUCGUAAGGCUACGCAAUACGGCUACGACACCGAUAGCAAACAAGUACCGUGAGGGAAAGUUGAAAUAGAACUUUGCAGAGAGAGUUAACAGGGCGUGAAACCGUUAAUUGGCAAACGAAUCGGAGCCACGAAGUCGUUUCGUUGAUAAGUUGGGCCAAGUUCAGCUUAAAAUCCAAAAGAUUUUAAGUGUAUUCUUGUUAGUCUAACCUAAAAAUCAUUGUAAGCGUACACUGCAACCAGUUAGACAAUUGACGAUGGGCAUAGUUGAAUUCCGACAGUUUACUUGAGGGAUUUUAACGAAGCAUUUGUUUAUUCAGGCCAGUAGUAGUGUGGUGUCGUUUCGGCGGCAUUGUGUUGCUGGGUUUGUGAUAAGUGAACUAUCAUCAAAUACUGACUGGCAAAAUGAAAAUCGCACUCUUUUGAGCGUUACAUAAAAUGCAUUUCCUUAUAAUAGUGUCUACAUGUUUGACCAUGGGGUUUGAAGCUCAGCAUUUUUGAAUUUGGACUUGCUAGCUACCAGUGGGGCAACUCCUGGUGCUAGUAUAGCUUUCAUCUAAUCGGGUGUUGACUUGAUUCUAUGUUGUUUAAAUAUGAUACGAUUGGAUAUUAUUAUAAUGGAAUUCGCAAUUAAA